AAGAGUAAUGGAGGGAGUUAAAGCAAAAGAUCCUGUGGAAGUCACUUUCACUUUAUAUCCAUUAGGAAGGGUUACAAGAUAAGGUACAGGUAAAGGUGUGAUAUUAAAGAGUAAGUUCUUAUUAGAUGUCAUAUGAUCAGAAGCCCCGGAAUCUAUUAUCCAAUAGACAGAAGCAAUAUGAGUAAGUAGACAAAGUUUGGAAUCAGAAACAGGACUCUCAGUUAGCAUAGUACCAGCAAAAUUGGCAGCACACAUAGGAGGAGAGGUCUGAGCAGUGGAGUCACCCAACUUGGACUGUUGCAGCAGAGUCAUCAGUUGAUCAUAUUGUUGACUACUCAAUCCAGGGAUUACAGAACCAUGUCCAUCCACAUUUGGGACAGAUGAAUUACCCUCUAUGUGAUUUCCAGGAGCAUUAGAAGUGUAUCCAUCAGAAGAGGGGAAGGAGGUGAAAUCAGCACCAGUGGUUACAUGGGCAGCAACAGUUCUCUUCCCUUUGUUAAACCUGGUGCUGUGUGGAAAUCCAUGAAGUUUGUAACACUUAUCAAUUAAGUGCCCAGAUUUCUUGCAAUAUAUACAGAAGAGAGGUCCUCUAGAUUGGUCAAAAGUAACUCUCUGGGCAUACUGUCUGAGAGGAGAAGAGUUGGAAAGAGAGGUCCUCUGGAUUGGUCAAAAGUAACAUUCUGGGCAUACUGUCUGAGAGGAGGAGAGUUGGGCACUGCAACUUGACUGAAAGAAGGUGUAGAAUUUUUGUUUGAAUUGACACUGAAGGACAUAGAAUCAGGAUUGAACUGGGAAAUAGACUGAACUUGUCUUUGUUU
Molecule: long non-coding RNA, 818 nt
Filed under: Nicotiana benthamiana
Lineage: Eukaryota; Viridiplantae; Streptophyta; Magnoliopsida; Solanales; Solanaceae
Description: long non-coding RNA (NBEN_LNC014467)
Source: RNAcentral